GGGGACGACUUGGUUUCGACUGGAGUAGUCGGAGCUAUGUGCAUGUCGGACUGAGCAUUUCCGUUAUACGGCUCACAUUGCAUAACUGCAAACAAUACAGAUUACCGUCCAGCUUACGCAGUAGCGUAAGUUUACCCCGAGCGAUCGGAGGACUGCCUUACCAAGGAGUUCCAUCUUACUUGGAUUUUAGGCAUCACAUCUGAUGGAUAUGCUCUGUAGAAGUCAUGCUACAGUGUGAGAAUUUUGACUGGUUUUGUGUAGCUUUGGGUGUUGUGCGAAGCAAAAUGAGAUUUAACAUCACCGACUAAACAUGUAGAUUCAUAGCACUAGCUAUUUUAGGACUGGGGUUCAAUUCCCCACGUCUCCACCA
This 370-nucleotide transfer-messenger RNA is filed under the name Sulfurovum sp. It matches the Rfam family "transfer-messenger RNA". Rfam says of the family: Bacterial tmRNA, also known as 10Sa RNA or SsrA, is named for its dual tRNA and mRNA-like properties. Its role is to liberate the mRNA from a stalled ribosome. To accomplish this part of the tmRNA is used as a reading frame that ends in a translation stop signal. Lineage: Bacteria; Pseudomonadati; Campylobacterota; Epsilonproteobacteria; Campylobacterales; Sulfurovaceae. The record is from RNAcentral. RNAcentral also lists the same sequence under 2 other names.